Long non-coding RNA from Pygocentrus nattereri (red-bellied piranha), 573 nucleotides. NCBI's taxonomy places the organism in Eukaryota, Metazoa, Chordata, Actinopteri, Characiformes, Serrasalmidae. The record is from Ensembl.
GGGGAAGGCUCGGGAACUUAUGUUACUGAAAAAAAUUAAAUAAAAUAAAAUGGCAGAUUCCACCUGCACUGAGGUAAAUACUGAGGCAGAUUCCACCCGUAAUGAAGUCCGAGCUGUCGCCAACGCGCCACAACAGAGGUGGAAAGCACGCGCGCAGAGUAGCUUCUAGAAACUUUGGAAAGCUUCAAAACACGUCUGUAUGGCACUGCAUAAAGGCUUAACCAAAUGUGUACUCUUCUUGUUAUGGCCUCCACAUGUCCUACAUCUACCACCAGCAUUUCUCAGAGACAUCACACAGGAACGUAUGGGCAAAACAACCGAGGAGCAGCUCAGUGGGGAAAAGUGGAAAGUUCUGGACUGACCAAGUCAAUCUCCCAGCUUAAGAUUCAAAACAGACUGAAGUCCCUGAAGCCCAAACAGAAACAGAAACCUUGCUUGGCAAGUAACCCAAGAAAAACCUUGGUUAAACAUGAUUCGUGGACUGUGGAUUUGUGUGAAAGACGUAAAGAUCUGAAGACCAUAACUCUCAGGACCUUAGUUGUGCUAUAUCCUCUCUUUUACUAUGUCAGAUAG